UACGAAGGGGGCUAGCGUUGUUCGGAAUCACUGGGCGUAAAGCGUACGUAGGCGGACCGUUAAGUCGGGGGUGAAAUCCUGGAGCUCAACUCCAGAACUGCCUCCGAUACUGGCGGUCUUUGAGUCCGGGAGAGGUGAGUGGAACUCCUAGUGUAGAGGUGAAAUUCGUAGAUAUUAGGAAGAACACCAGUGGCGAAGGCGGCUCACUGGCCCGGUACUGACGCUGAGGUACGAAAGCGUGGGGAGCAAACAGG
Molecule: ribosomal RNA, 254 nt
Filed under: uncultured bacterium
Lineage: Bacteria
Description: partial 16S ribosomal RNA
Rfam family: Bacterial small subunit ribosomal RNA
Source: RNAcentral